Molecule: ribosomal RNA, 1406 nt
Filed under: uncultured bacterium
Lineage: Bacteria
Description: 16S ribosomal RNA
Rfam family: Bacterial small subunit ribosomal RNA
Source: RNAcentral
AGAGUUUGAUCCUGGCUCAGGAUGAACGCUAGCGACAGGCCUAACACAUGCAAGUCGAGGGGCAUCGGGGCGAGGAGCAAUCCUUGCCGCCGGCGACCGGCGCACGGGUGAGUAACGCGUAUGCGACCUGCCCGUUGCAGGGGGAUAAUCGGGAGAAAUCCCGUCUAAUACCGCGUAAUGCCGCGGGGCUGCAUGGCCCUGCGGCCAAAGGGAGCGAUUCCGGCAACGGAUGGGCAUGCGUGACAUUAGCUAGUUGGCGGGGCAACGGCCCACCAAGGCGACGAUGUCUAGGGGUUCUGAGAGGAAGGUCCCCCACAAUGGUACUGAGACACGGACCAGACUCCUACGGGAGGCAGCAGUGAGGAAUAUUGGUCAAUGGGCGCGAGCCUGAACCAGCCAAGUCGCGUGAGGGAUGACGGCCCUACGGGUUGUAAACCUCUUUUGUCGGGGAGCAAAUUCCGCCACGUGUGGCGGAGUCGAGAGUACCCGAAGAAAAAGCAUCGGCUAACUCCGUGCCAGCAGCCGCGGUAAUACGGAGGAUGCGAGCGUUAUCCGGAUUUAUUGGGUUUAAAGGGUGCGUAGGCGGACUGUCAAGUCAGCGGUAAAAUACGGGGGCUCAACCUCCGCCCGCCGUUGAAACUGACGGUCUUGAGUGGGCGAGAAGUAUGCGGAAUGCGUGGUGUAGCGGUGAAAUGCAUAGAUAUCACGCAGAACUCCGAUUGCGAAGGCAGCAUACCGGCGCCCAACUGACGCUGAAGCACGAAAGCGUGGGUAUCGAACAGGAUUAGAUACCCUGGUAGUCCACGCAGUAAACGAUGAAUACUAGCUGUCCGGGGCGAAUGAGCCCUGGGUGGCACAGCGAAAGCGUUAAGUAUUCCACCUGGGGAGUACGCCGGCAACGGUGAAACUCAAAGGAAUUGACGGGGGCCCGCACAAGCGGAGGAACAUGUGGUUUAAUUCGAUGAUACGCGAGGAACCUUACCCGGGCUCAAACGACACAGGAACGUACCUGAAAGGGUUCGGCUCUACGGAGCCUGUGUCGAGGUGCUGCAUGGUUGUCGUCAGCUCGUGCCGUGAGGUGUCGGCUUAAGUGCCAUAACGAGCGCAACCCCCAUCGACAGUUGCUAACAGGUCAGGCUGAGGACUCUGUCGAGACUGCCGGCGCAAGCUGCGAGGAAGGCGGGGAUGACGUCAAAUCAGCACGGCCCUUACGUCCGGGGCGACACACGUGUUACAAUGGCAGGUACAGCGGGAAGCCACCUGGCGACAGGGAGCGGAACCCGAAAGCCUGUCUCAGUUCGGAUUGGAGUCUGCAACCCGACUCCAUGAAGCUGGAUUCGCUAGUAAUCGCGCAUCAGCCACGGCGCGGUGAAUACGUUCCCGGGCCUUGCACACACCGCCCGUCA